This 558-nucleotide ribosomal RNA is filed under the name Staphylococcus lugdunensis. Its description in RNAcentral is "bacterial SSU rRNA". It matches the Rfam family "Bacterial small subunit ribosomal RNA", at positions 366 to 916 of the family's 1533-position model. Lineage: Bacteria; Bacillati; Bacillota; Bacilli; Caryophanales; Staphylococcaceae. The record is from RNAcentral.
UCGCAUGGGCGAAGCCUGACGGAGCAACGCCGCGUGAGUGAUGAAGGUCUUAGGAUCGUAAAACUCUGUUAUUAGGGAAGAACAAACGUGUAAGUAACUGUGCACGUCUUGACGGUACCUAAUCAGAAAGCCACGGCUAACUACGUGCCAGCAGCCGCGGUAAUACGUAGGUGGCAAGCGUUAUCCGGAAUUAUUGGGCGUAAAGCGCGCGUAGGCGGUUUUUUAAGUCUGAUGUGAAAGCCCACGGCUCAACCGUGGAGGGUCAUUGGAAACUGGAAAACUUGAGUGCAGAAGAGGAAAGUGGAAUUCCAUGUGUAGCGGUGAAAUGCGCAAAGAUAUGGAGGAACACCAGUGGCGAAGGCGACUUUCUGGUCUGUAACUGACGCUGAUGUGCGAAAGCGUGGGGAUCAAACAGGAUUAGAUACCCUGGUAGUCCACGCCGUAAACGAUGAGUGCUAAGUGUUAGGGGGUUUCCGCCCCUUAGUGCUGCAGCUAACGCAUUAAGCACUCCGCCUGGGGAGUACGACCGCAAGGUUGAAACUCAAAUGAAAUUGACGG